GCCUACGGGGCGCAGCAGUGAGGAAUAUUGGUCAAUGGUCGAGAGACUGAACCAGCCAAGCCACGUGAAGGAGGAAGGUACAGAGUAUCGUAAACCUCUUUUGUCAGGGAACAAAGGCGGGGACGUGUCCCCGGAUGAGUGUACCUGAAGAAAAAGCAUCGGCUAACUCCGUGCCAGCAGCCGCGGUAAUACGGAGGGUGCGAGCGUUAUCCGGAUUUAUUGGGUUUAAAGGGUGCGCAGGCGGUCUGUUAAGUCAGCGGUCAAAGCCCGGGGCUCAACCCCGGCCCGACGUUGAAACUGGCAGU
RNAcentral lists this ribosomal RNA (305 nucleotides) under uncultured bacterium. RNAcentral describes it as "bacterial SSU rRNA". It matches the Rfam family "Bacterial small subunit ribosomal RNA", at positions 337 to 640 of the family's 1533-position model. The record is from RNAcentral.